Peromyscus californicus insignis is the source of this 9689-nucleotide long non-coding RNA. RefSeq lists it as uncharacterized. The transcript has 2 exons. Lineage: Eukaryota; Metazoa; Chordata; Mammalia; Rodentia; Cricetidae. The record is from RefSeq and is a predicted model, not a curated record.
CAUUCUGCCUGCCAGGAGCGCAUGGACGAUCCGCGCGUCUGCAGGCACGGGGCGGGGGAAGGAGGCGGGAGCGCCGGGAGAGGAGGGGGCGGAGUGGGGAGGGGGGAGACGGAAGAAACCGCGGAGGAAGGGGAGAGGAAGGGGAGGGAGCAAGGGGGCGAGCAGAGGGCGAAAGGGAAAAGAGAUGCAGGGAAGGAAGCCCGGGAAGAGGAAAAGGCAAGGAAAUAGCGGGAGAUGGGGCGGGGUCGAAGGAAAAGGGGCGGGGCAGGGAGAAUAUAAAUUAAAAAAUUUAAAUCAGUCAAAGGAAGGAUGGAAGCCCGGAGGCUCCAUCGAAGCGGGGACGUGCUGCGAUGCUGGGAUCUCGUCUAAGUCCCCGGCGGCCGAUCUGUGCUGAGGGCCGCACACACUCCCGGGCAGCGCCCUCACUACACUCCUCCUUCCAGCUCGCGGAGAGGCUGCGGGCUGCAGCUCCCAGCGAAGAAGGGGAGGGGGGAGGCGGGGAGCAAACAGGAGGAGGGGUGGAGUGUGCGCAAGGGGAGGGAGGUAGGGGAGAGAGUGUGUCUAUUUCUGGCUCGGGAGGGGGAGGUGUCUGUGAGCUGAGCCCUGGGGGCACAGAAAGGAUCCCACCAGUUUUUUUCCUUGCUUGCUGCAGAGAGGUGGGGUAUGUGGUUUCCUGCUGCAUCUGGGAAAAUGUAUCCGUGGAGGAGAUUUAGGGACUCAGGUAAAGGUAUUGAGAAAGGGUAUCUGUGGACACAGGACAGAGAGUUGCCCGGUGGGGUCUUGGGUAGAAACCGGCAGAGCCUGAGGGAAGUUCCCACAAACCACCUUCGGGUUUCCCCCUAGGAAAACUCUCUUGGUACCUUCAGUUCCUCUAGGGCACAGUUGCCCUCAUAAGCCCAGAAGGUAAGGGGCACAGUACGGGACAGGGUGGUUUAAACAGGGCUCAGGGUUGACAGGGAAGCGGGGCUGGGAUGUAAAAGGAAGGGGCUAACCCUUGGGAGCAGGAGUCUGAGUCCCCAUUCUACUUGAUCACAUGACCUUGUCAAAGUCAUUGAAGCCUUCUUGCUGUCUGUCGCUCCUACAGUGGUUAUAACACAGCUUCAUAGGUAAAGGGGCUUUGAAACCUAAGGACUCCAAAGAGACUUGGCAUUGGUCCCUCUGCAGAGCUGUAGAACCAAUGAAAAAGAUCCUGGAUAUGUCGGUCCCAUCCGAAUAGGAGCUCUCCAAGUGCCACACUAGCCCAGGGUAGGUGUUGAUGGUUAAAGGACUCUGAGGUCUAAAUGCUGGACAUCAGGUGCUGACCAGAGCCCAAGAUACUCUAACUUCCUCGGUCCCAGUUGAGAGUCUAUUAACCUUUCUAGGACAGGGACUAGAGCAGAGAGGCCAUGUCUAGCGCAGUACUGAGAACGGGAGUUAUUGGGCAGAGAGCUGUUUGGCGAGAGCUGUGGGCUUUCAGCUGGCCUCAGAGAGCCAAAGAGAGAUGGAGGGUCUGGCCUCGAGGGAAUACAAGGCAGACAACCCAAGACUUGGGGAAAUAACUUUGUCCCUGUGAAAAUGAAGUGUCGAGCACAUUUAUCUCAGGAAGGCAGGCAUGGGUAUGUGUUCUCCUCACAGGAAUGACAAGAGGUACUGCCUCAGGAAGAGAUUGGCCAGGAAGACAGUGUUCAGAGGCCCUGAGUCCAGAUCUUAGGAAACACAGAGGCAGAGUCAAGACUGUGAGUCCAUGGAGGAAACAAGCAAGUUGAAGCUGGUCAAAAAACACACAGAUCCUCAUGCUUCUACCUGAAAUAAGCUCCUAGUUCAAGCAAGAGAAAGAGCAUCUCUCAUCCCACAGACUAUUUGUAACAGUGUCACAAACAACUAGAUCUUGAGAUUCUCCUGCCUCAGUCCCCUGAGUGCUGGGGUUACAGACAAACCAUCGUUUUUAAAGUCCUCAUUCUUAUCCACCUGUCAUCUUGAAAUUUAGUCGAGAUUUCCCUGAUUCAAUCCCGUGGAAAUGUUGCUUUCUCUAAAAUUGCAAUUUAGAAACCAAAGGAUACCUAUGGGCUGAUUUACCAAGUUCUUGGUUGUUGUUGAUAGUUUUUCCCCCUGCAUGUAAAUUCAUCUCUGCCUUAGCUAAUGAAAUUGGCUAAUUACAGUCCUGACUGAACAACACUAGGUCCAUCCACCCACGUCUACUGCUGCAGCCAAAACGCCUGGCUUAACCUGAGCCCUUGUCUCUGGUGUCCAUAUCUGUAGUAAAACCUUCAGCAGUUUAUGAAACCCUAGUCCAUGUGCUGAUCUGUCUGUCCACCUGUGUUUCCUUUGCUCCGGAUGCCUACUGCCCCCGGGACCUGACCUUCCUUCCUCCAUGUUGUCUCACUCCCUUAUUCGAUUCCAUGUGUUAGCUUAGUUCUUCCUCUUCUCUGUAUCCUCUUUGUUCCUCUGCGACUUCUCUCAUGGGAUAUCAUAUUCCCCAAAUCUCAAGUCCCUUUUCUCCUUUCAAUAAACAGCCCCUGAAAUUCUGCUUCUCGUUAGAAGAAGACAGAGCAGAUAAAGGAAAGAUCACUCCUCAGACUUUUGGCUGAAAUCAAGUUGGUAUCUGUUCUUAUCAGAAGAGAGGCACCGCCCCUUCCUGCUGUCUAAGUCUGGAUCCUUCUCCCUCCCACUCACCUCCCAGCACAUCACCUGUCAGGUUCUGAGAUGUAAAAUACUAUCUAUGCACAUUGUCAUGAAUUAACUCACUGCCAGUCCUCCUCCUGUCUUGAAAGGGUCUUGCCAUGGCCAGGUGGUGGUCCCUUUAAACACUAUCUUGGCAUCUUGGAAUACUCCAAGGCUCCCUAAUACCACCUCUACCUCCAUCUCCCCCUUUUUUAUUCUUUUCACAUCCCCUGAGUUUCCCAACCAUUCUCUCCUGGAGUGCGAAUGCUCUGCUGCCGUGGCAACAGCCAUUCUGGCAUCCGUCGAUAAAGCCGAUAUGUACAGAGCCUUUCCUACAGCGAUUCCUCAAAAGAGGGGGUUCUGCCAUGUCAUACUAUCCCCGAGAUCACAACCCUGAGCCCCUCCUACUCAGUCAUUUCCCCACUUUGCUACCCUGCCAAAAUGCCAGGGCUCAAAUGGUUCAUUGCAUUGAGACCAACGAUCAUUAAUGGGCUGGGCAGACGGAGGAGGGUGCUGCUGAUGUCAGUAACCUUAUGUGAGGACUGGUUCCCGUCAGUUCCUGGGGAGGUGGGAAAAGAGGCUGGUUUGGAAUCAUCUGUAUCUUCAGUCCCUCGAUGUCCUAAAACAAGCUCGAUACUCCAUUUCUGCCAGUUUCUGUAGUGGAAAUGGACUGUGUAAUUUGACCAUAUUUGUUGACUAUUAUCUUGAAGCAAUUUGAGGAAUGAAGAUGUAGGCCUAGGGCCAGGGCCAGGCAUGCUGUGGGACUUGACGUUCUCACACCCCUGUGACUAGAAAUGCUGUAACCCAGGGUGAGGGGGCGAUGGUCUGAGGCUCUGCCUGUUGGGCUAAUGUUAGUGGAGCUGGAGGGAAGAGAGAAGAAGGUAGACACGAGAGCUAGACUGGUCCUGCCCUGAUGACCUUGAAAGGUGACCUUGGAAGAAGGGAGUGUGAGGGAGACAGGAGGGGGCAGAGAAGUCCACACUUUGCUCCCCACACAGCACAGGACAGAGUUCGGGGACAGGUAGUACUUGUUUCUGUGCCCACAGUCAGGAUCCAGAGAUCAAGGACUGAAAACGCAACCACGUGACUACAAGCCUAGCCUAUCCAUUCUGGGCUAGGGCUGGGGGUGCCAUCAACCCCAAGAGUGACAAGCUCUUUCUUUAAGGCUUUCUGGGCUCAUCCUCCUGUGAAGUGCCUGCUUGUCACUUCCCAGGAAGAUUCUGUAAAAUCUAUUGCUCCUCACUUCCUUCUACCAGGUCAUUUCUCUAUGUCACUCAGUCCCUCAGUGAGGACUCAGAAUGUGGGCAAGGCCAUGCUAGAGGCUGUGGAAACAGCUGAUGUUUAAACACCAAGUCUCUAGAAAGCCCCUCCCCAUUGCUCACGCUGGUUCAGGUCAGCUGGGCUAGCUGCUGGGGGAUUUAGUGGAUCACAAAACCAAAAACUCUUGUCCUUGUGGAGUUUAUAUUCAAAUGGGCAAGACAGCAAAUUAGCCAGAGAUACCAGCUACUUAAAAGCACUAAGGAGGGGCCAGCAAGAUAGUCCAGUGGAAAAGCGCUCCUGCCCCUAAGCCUGACAACCCGGGGUCCAUUCCCAGAAUCCACAUGACAGAACUGACUCCUGAAAGUUAUCGUCUGGCCUCCCACAGACACACAUAAAAUCAAUAUAAAAAAAUGCUAAGGAGAAAAAAAUGGAAAUAAGAAAUUCCUGAUAUGUUUCAAAGACAGCAAGGAAGAUAAAACCUCGGCCAGACAAGAAAGGGACGCUGCAGAAAGAGAGUGAGAGGUGUGCUAGGAGGCGGGGCAUGGGGCCUUCUAGGUCUUCAUAUAAGGACUUGUCAUUCGGAAUAACACUGCAGGCCAGGGAGAGACCUGGUUUCCCCUUGGAAAAGAUCACUUUGAGUCUUAGGUGGAGGCAAAUUGUUGGGGUCAUUGGUUGAAGCGGUGAAUCCAGCUGAAAGAUGAUGGUGGCGGGGAUGGCGGUCAUGAGAAGUGGUCAGCAAUGGUACACUUUGGAACCAUUAGGAUUUGCUCUUUGGCUACAUGUGGGUGUGUAGGAGAGAGAGGGAUCAAGAAUAUUUCCCCAAGGUUUUUGGCCAGUACAACUCUUGGAUAGGAAUCUCUCUCUCUCUCUCUCUCUCUCUCUCUCUCUCUCUCUCUCUCUCUCUCUCUCUCUCUCUCUCUCUCUCUCUCUGUUUAUUUUAUUUUUGUCCUGGAACUUGAUUUGUAGACCAGGCUGGCCUCAAACUCAGAGAUCCUCCUGUCUCUCUCUGUGGGUCCCCGGCCUCCCCGCCACCUCAAUGUGCUGGGAUUAAAGGCAUUCACCACUGUAGGCUUUCUUUUGCUGUUGUUACGACAGGCUCUCACCAGGCUAGCCUUGAACUUAUUAUCCUCAUGCCUUAGUCUUUUCUGAAUGCUGAAAUUACCCGCAUGCCAUCAAACCCGGCUCUCCUCAACCCCUGGUGAAGGAGAAUGCUUCUCCUUUAAGGAUGGCACCCCGACCCUCCCCACAGCUCACUGCAGCCUCUGUAAUGAUUUCCUCACAUCUGUGGCCAUCAUUCAUCAUGCGUUUAUUUGUGUUCCUCAAGAAUCCAUUUUUUGGUUGAACUUGUCCUCAAAGGCCAUCAAAGUCCUGUGCGCAUAGUGGGUUCUCAGGAAUAUUUGGUGAAUGACGGCUAAUGAAAUGAAUGAAUGCGUGACUCAGAACAGAUGUGUGGGGCCUGUAAACAGGGGUGACCUCUCAGUACCCUGUGGUGAGAGACAGCACAGCUGGAGUGUGGAGUGGAAGCCAGGCCUCUGGGAUGGCGGGGGUCCAGCAACAUCUUUUCUCACUUCUCUGUGGCCUUAGGACAGGAGGCUCUGUCUUUGUCCCCUUCGCGGGGAAAGCCAUAUCUUCAGGGAAUGACCUUGGGACAUCUAGCUAUGAGGCUACCUCAUGCCCCCAAACUUCUGCUGCGUUCAGAGGUAUGGGGGAGAUUUUCUGCACUUCUGAGAGAAAGGGGCAAGCGUGUCCGAGGUAUUCUCACAGCCCAGCCUGUCUGGCACACGCAUUAGUACUAAACUAGGACUAGAGUUCACCAUUUACUCCUGUGUGGACAAGAAAAUUCAAUAAUGGACACAGUGAUGUCACACAACACCCCAGCAUGCUUAUACCCCCAGAAAGUCCUCUUAGAUUGGCCUGCUGCCUGCCUACUAGACAAAAAUGAGGCUUGGCAAGCUGGAAGCUGGUAAUAGAACCAGGGUUCUAGACCUCAGCCAACCUCCAAUCUGCCCCUGCCCCAAUCCCAAGAGGACAGAAAUGUGGAUCAACCCUAAGCUGCAGCACACAUUCCUUAGAACUCCCGGCAUGGCCUUCCCCUCCUCUGAGCUCUGACAGGGCAGGGAUGGUACAGAAAGGAGCGGGGAGGCCUGGAGAAGAAAACCAAGUCAUUUCCGGUCACACCAGGAGACGGGAUCUGAAGCCAACUAGACAUCUCCUUGAGUCUAGGGAGGCACUGACCCUCUUCCAGGGGUCUGUAGAACCUGAGGUAACAGGGGUUGAGGGCUGUUCAAGAGAGCCUGCUCCAGAUCUGGUGUGUAAGGGCAGAGGACAGGCCCCUCCUCCAGCCAUAGGCUCCUCAGGAAUCCCAAGGCUAGAAUGUCUGGGGCCAGCAGAACCUAGCUCAGGGCUGGGCUGCUAUUAAUUGUUCUUGCCUGGGUGUUCUGGACCCCAUGCCUGAGCAUGGGACCUUUCUUCCUGGUGGCUAGUUCUCAGAGGGCUGUCCUGGAGGUGGGAGGUGUGGAUUCAGGAUCUGCAGGGGGAGGCCCUCCUCCCCUCAUAGCUACAGCUCUGUGAUCUGCAGGAAGAGGAUCUCUAACUUGGUGGUCUGGGUGGCCUUGCAGGUAAGGACCACCCCACCCCCUGGGGCCUGGCUGCCACACAGGCCUGUGCUGACCAGUACACAAGCCCUUCACAGCUCUGGCAUCACCUCCUGGCUCCCUCGCUUUCCUCCUUGCCUCUGUCCAGGUCUAACGCACGCCUGUACCUCCGCUCUGCCUGGCCUUUCUCUAUAUGUGUUCAGGUCCAACACGUCUUGCAAGGCCUCCUUGCUCAGCCUUCUUUGACAGUCCCACACAACUUUGUGCCUUUCCUACCUGCUGACUGUAGUCAAGGGCUAUGCAGUCAUAUUCUGCUUACUUGCAUCCCGGGGCCAGACCCUCUUCCCCCACUGAAUUGAAAGCCUCCUACGUAAGGCAGACGGUGAUAACGUACUGAGGCUUGCUGAACUGAGGACAGGUGAUCCUACAGGAACUGGGUACCAGGGGCCCUCUUACACACAUUAUGUACCUUAUUUCAUAAACCCUAUGAGUCAGGAAGUACCAUUGUCUUCAUUUAAUGGAGAAAGAAACUUGCCCAAAACCAUCCUGGGGGUACCCGAGAUAGUUAGACUUUGAAUGCCAGUCGGUUAGGGUCCUACAACCUUCCACAAUGUCCUUCAGCCACCUGCAGCUGUAGCUGAUUUGCUUCAUGCUGCAUACUGUUCCAAGCAGCAUGGAGCCCUUUUAACAUGAAAUCCCAUGGUCCUAUUGAUGAGAUCCUGUAACCCUACACUUGCUGCCCCAGCGAUUAGAGUGGAUCUAGGCUCACAGUCACAGUAAGGCUGGCCCACUGAAUCCAGGGAGAGGAGAGAGAGCGGGUGGGCGGGGGAGGGGGGGGAUGGACCAUCCUGUGGAUAGAGGAAGUGACGUACAGUACAGCUAGUCUCUUUCUUGCCUCAGCUUCAUGAGUUCUGUCCUUCUCAAUUCCAGUGACCCUAACAACCUCCACAAGCUUGAGAUUAGGGUUUACCCUAAUCUCACAUCUUGGAGGUCCUGGGUUCUCUUCUGGACUUGCUACAUGGCAUUAGAUGCCUGUUUUCUCUGCACCUCCACUGGUCCUGUAAAUUAGGUAGGCGAGAGGGUAUGGAAUCUCCACUUCCCCUGCUCUUAAGACUUCCAGCGGGGAAAAGCAGGAAGAAAUACCUAAUCUAGGGCACUCUUUCUGAAAUUGUACUCAUUGAAAACCACAUCCCCUUGCUUCUCUGGUCAACAUGAAGUCCAGAUGUUUCCACAUGUAUAUUAUGUGCCCUAUAUAUUACUGUAGCAACUGUCCCAUACACACAGAUACAAUGGUUCUUGCACACUGAGCCUCAGGUGAGCUCUGCAUUGCCUAGAUUACACGGUCCAUAGACUAAGACCAGCCUAGAUUGGUUGUCGUGGCAACUAUGGGCAUGAGAUAGGAAACUUCAGGCAAGCAAAGGGAGAGGAGAGAGAGAGAGAGAGACAGAGACAGAGAGACAGACAGAGACAGAGAGGGAGAGAGAGAGAGAGAGAGAGAGAGAGAGAGAGAGAGAGAGAGAGAGACUACACGUUCACUAUGAACAGGCAAACUACUUGCCAUGUACCCUUUUUUUAUGGUCUAACCCAGAGUCAAAGCAGACACAUUCCGUGUCUCACACUGCUGAAUCACAAGGUUACAUGGGACCUCUGAGAUAGUCUUAUACAACAUUUUCCCUCAGGAAAUAACUGACCUAUUUGUAAUAAGCCCUAUUGCCUCACUGAAGGCCAAGUAAACCCCCAAACAGUGAAAACACAAGGCCCACAGCUGAGGUUGUCUUGCCAACCCAACUGAUGACAUCCUACCACAGAAAUAACUUUGUGAUCUGUAUCCACAGACCAGAUUUAGGAGGUCAGUAGACCAAGUCACCAAAUAUCGGCCACAUGCCCAGAUGUUGGCCAUUUUUCGCUGAGACAUAAUGUCCAUCAGUUUCAUAAGGAAGUUCAGGAGCUUCAAACAGUUAAAGAUAACUGUGUGAAUAAAAAAAAAAAACUGCAACCUGCCUUAACAAGACAUGGCCUAGAGACACCUGAGCAAGCACUGUCUGAAGAGAAGACACUCUCACUCUGUGGCUGCUCUCACUGACACCUCCGAGCUUUAUUAGAGUUUUUGUUAGGUUUCUCAAUAAGACACAGCAUUCAACAGAGGGACUCAUAUUUCAAUUAUUUUUAACCGGUAUCACUGGCAAUUACUUGGCACAGGAAAAAAGCUCUGCAAAUCCUAGAAAUAGUUCUCGGUGCAGUGGGUGGGGCUUUCAGAGCCGAGAUGAGAACUUCACCUUCUCAGAGUCCUGUUUUAUCCCCGGGUAGCCUGCUGCUUCCUCCUGCCUCCACAUGAACCCAGCCUCUACAGCAGGAAGGAUGCAGUGAGCUCACAGCAUCCUGCUCCUGGCUGGACCUGUUUAGUAUGGCGUCUCAGGCUCCACAUUCCCUGCUCCAGCUUCCACGGAGGCUGAGUUCUUCUUGGAAGUUCCCUUAGCUCUUUGACCCCCCGUUUACACUGCAGAACAUCCUCUUUUUGUAUCAGUGAAAUCCUUAAAAUAAAGUACAGCCUGGUGUGGUGGCUUGUGUCUUUUAAUUCCAACACUUGGGAGUCAGAGGCAGGCAGGUCUCUUGUGAGUUCCAGGACAGCCUGGUCUAUCUACAUAGCAAGUUCCAGGCUAGCCACUGCUACAUAUUGAGAUCCUGUCUCAAAACAAAAACAAACAAACAAAAAACAAAACAAACAAAAAAACAAAACAGAAGGUAUAGUCAGCUAUUUCUUGACUUUUUCCUGUUCCCAGGGCUUUGCCUGCUCUGGGAUGAGAGACAUGGAACUCACUGAUCCUACCUUAGUUUCCUCUGACGUCUGGGACUCCUGCUCCCAAGGGUCGCACACAGGAUGGAAAACAGUGCCUACUGUCCGUGACUCCUGUGUCUGUUGCCUUACUCUUCAGGUGCUUGUCCUGAAGUGCCUUCUGUGGGAGUCAUGAGGCUGGAGCUCUGCCUCUCAUCUCUGGGACAGGACACACAAGCCAGAGCUGAAGCAUCUCCAGGAUGCUCUGUGGACCCUGUACUGCUGUGUGCUGUAGGCUAUGUGCUGAACAGCUCCCAACUACAUCAUGAACCCCACAGGGACGGAAGCUUUUGCCUAUUUUGCUCAAACUUCUAAAAUGUACCUGGCACAUAGCAAAUGUUUAAUUAAAGGGUUGAUGUUGA